UGGGGAAUCUUGCACAAUGGGCGAAAGCCUGAUGCAGCGACGCCGCGUGCGGGACGAAGGCCUUCGGGUUGUAAACCGCUUUCAGCAGGGACGAGGCGAAAGUGACGGUACCUGCAGAAGAAGCCCCGGCUAACUACGUGCCAGCAGCCGCGGUAAUACGUAGGGGGCAAGCGUUAUCCGGAUUCAUUGGGCGGAAAGCGCUCGUAGGCGGUCUGUUAGGUCGGGAGUUAAAUCCGGAGGCUCAACCUCCGUUCGCUCCCGAUACCGGCAGACUUGAGUUUGGUAGGGGAAGGUGGAAUUCCUAGUGUAGCGGUGGAAUGCGCAGAUAUUAGGAAGAACACCAGUGGCGAAGGCGGCCUUCUGGGCCAUAACUGACGCUGAGGAGCGAAAGCUAGGGGAGCAAACA
Molecule: ribosomal RNA, 406 nt
Filed under: uncultured prokaryote
Description: bacterial SSU rRNA
Rfam family: Bacterial small subunit ribosomal RNA
Source: RNAcentral